Armigeres subalbatus is the source of this 1069-nucleotide long non-coding RNA. RefSeq lists it as uncharacterized. Lineage: Eukaryota; Metazoa; Arthropoda; Insecta; Diptera; Culicidae. The transcript is spliced from 3 exons. The record is from RefSeq and is a predicted model, not a curated record.
AUUAAAAUAUCCUAUUUGUGAAUAAUUGGCGAUUAAUAAAAACGAUAGCUUUCGGGAUAGCCUGGAUGGUUCAAAACAUUUCAUAAGGUGAAAUUAAUUGUUUUGUGGCUGAUCCCAUCAACAAUGACGUUAAUAACCCCAAAGGUCAAUCACGAUGGCCGGGUGUUUAUGUCGUCUCAUCGGAUAAUAAAGUAUUAGUGGAGGACGAUCAUUGCCAUUGGGACAUAAUUGCCAUUGGGUCCAACCGAAAAUCUAGCAAACAACCGAAAAAUAUACUCAACCAAGGGCUGUUGAAACUAAACAUCUUUUCGUACGAGAUGCCCAACAUCCCGGGAUUCAAAUAUGAAAAGACCAGAAUUGACGACGACGAUGAGUGUUCUGGUGAAAUUCAGGGGAUACAUUGUCGUUCUGCUACGAUGGCAGCCGGAAAGUACGGUAGACAAUCGGCAGUCCUAGUUUCGAAAAACGUGGUCUGUACAACAACCUCAGCAGCAUAAUUGAGAUCAUUCCGCAUCUCAACAACAGUAUUCCCAAGGAGCACCGGACACCUCAUUCAUGUACCAACCGACUCGUUUUGACGUUUUAGAUACGAGGCUAACAUGAAGCACUUGUCAAAAACGGUGUCCAACGCCGUUGUGUUAGGAUGAUGCUGCCCUCGAUGCUGCCUUUUUCCUACAAUGACCUGCAAAGUCAGAGUCGGUUCCAUCUUCGAAAUGAUGAACUAAUAGCAGCUGUCGUUGUCCACGAUCUGGAUGAAAAGACCACCAGCGAGUGAAACAUUAUGUUUAUCAAUUAUGGUGGCGGUACUAUUGAUGAGUAAAUCCUGUCAAUGAUAGCAUCUUCAAAGUCUGCAGCCGAUGACACCCAUCUUGGCUGUAAGGACUCUGACUAUCGAUUGUCGUCACCGACACUGGUCAGCUUUGAAAAUGAAUUGUUGUUCGAGGGCACCAACGACAACCCGUGCCCGUUUCAAAUAACUAAACGCCGAUAUGUUGCGUCUUAAUGAGAUCGUUGCCGAAAUAAGCAUAUCUAAAAACUUUCACCACAUACUCGGCAUGCUUUAACUGGU